UGAUUCCACAGCUACACCUGCAAGUCGAGCGGUAGAGAGAAGCUUGCUUCUCUUGAGAGCGGCGGACGGGUGAGUAAUGCCUAGGAAUCUGCCUGGUAGUGGGGGAUAACGUUCGGAAACGGACGCUAAUACCGCAUACGUCCUACGGGAGAAAGCAGGGGACCUUCGGGCCUUGCGCUAUCAGAUGAGCCUAGGUCGGAUUAGCUAGUUGGUGAGGUAAUGGCUCACCAAGGCGACGAUCCGUAACUGGUCUGAGAGGAUGAUCAGUCACACUGGAACUGAGACACGGUCCAGACUCCUACGGGAGGCAGCAGUGGGGAAUAUUGGACAAUGGGCGAAAGCCUGAUCCAGCCAUGCCGCGUGUGUGAAGAAGGUCUUCGGAUUGUAAAGCACUUUAAGUUGGGAGGAAGGGUACUUACCUAAUACGUGAGUAUUUUGACGUUACCGACAGAAUAAGCACCGGCUAACUCUGUGCCAGCAGCCGCGGUAAUACAGAGGGUGCAAGCGUUAAUCGGAAUUACUGGGCGUAAAGCGCGCGUAGGUGGUUCGUUAAGUUGGAUGUGAAAUCCCCGGGCUCAACCUGGGAACUGCAUCCAAAACUGGCGAGCUAUAUUAUGGUUCAGGGGUGGUGGAAUUUCCUGUGUAGCGCUGAAAUGCGUAGAUCUAUGAAGGAACACCAGUGUCGAAGGCGACCACCUGGACUGAUACUGACAUUGAUGUGCGAAAUUAUUGGGAGCAAACUCGAUUAGU
Molecule: ribosomal RNA, 750 nt
Filed under: Pseudomonas sp.
Lineage: Bacteria; Pseudomonadati; Pseudomonadota; Gammaproteobacteria; Pseudomonadales; Pseudomonadaceae
Description: bacterial SSU rRNA
Rfam family: Bacterial small subunit ribosomal RNA
Source: RNAcentral